GUAGGUGAACCUGCGGAAGGAUCAUUAAAGAGUAUAGAGACUUCGGUCUACUACUCCACCCUUUGUUUACAAUACCAUUGUUGCUUUGGCAGGCCCGUCUUCGGGCAACUGGCUUUGGCUGGUUAGUGUCUGCCAGAGAACCUAAAACUCAUGUUUAUAUUAUCGUCUGAGUACUAUAUAAUAGUUAAAACUUUCAACAACGGAUCUCUUGGUUCUGGCAUCGAUGAAGAACGCAGCAUCUGACUGACUC
RNAcentral lists this unclassified non-coding RNA (250 nucleotides) under plant metagenome. RNAcentral's name for it is "partial contains small subunit ribosomal RNA, internal transcribed spacer 1, and 5.8S ribosomal RNA". The record is from RNAcentral.